GCUCCAGUACACCCGGUCUGUGUUGAGAGGCAAAGCAGCCACUCCUAUCCCCUGCCAAUGCCGAGCCACCUCCGACGCUGAUGGGGUCAAGCACCUACGACGUGGCGAAGUCAGUGCGAUGCAUUGCUACUGAUGCCGGCAGUCAGAUCCUGGAUGGCACUGCGUCGGAGCGACCUGCGGCAGCGAACACGCUUGUACGAAUCCACACCAUGAGCAGGGUGUCGACGCGACUCGAACGCAUCUCACCCGGCCCACACACAGCCUACUGGUGGGGAGCCUGAGUGCCACCGCGAGGGAGCUGCAGCACGUGGCGGCCGGCAUACUGUGAGCGGCUGCGAGGCGACCUGCGCAGCGGGUGGGUAACGUUCGAGCCAGGGGCCGUGCUCAGGUGGCUGAGUCGGCAUUGCUGUACCACGUGUCUACAGCUGCGCUGCACCACGCGAUGGGGCCAGUGACAGUCCGUAUCGCGCACGGCUCGACUCAUUGUUGAAUGACAGAAUGGACUCUUUGAAAGAAAAACACAACUGUGAUCCCUUCCUUGUCUGCCAUGUUUCAUGCUGCCUUCGCGCGAACGUAUGCUUUCAG
RNAcentral lists this unclassified non-coding RNA (585 nucleotides) under Leishmania donovani. RNAcentral's name for it is "gene:unknown". The record is from RNAcentral. Lineage: Eukaryota; Euglenozoa; Kinetoplastea; Trypanosomatida; Trypanosomatidae.